RNAcentral lists this long non-coding RNA (830 nucleotides) under Homo sapiens (human). Its description in RNAcentral is "long non-coding RNA NONHSAT195770.1". The record is from RNAcentral. Lineage: Eukaryota; Metazoa; Chordata; Mammalia; Primates; Hominidae.
CUCGCGGAGUGGACACUUUGGUGGGGGAGACAGAUGUCCAGAAGGACACGCCAUCCAGACACAUAAUCUUGUGAGGGUGAGAGCUCACAUGGUGCUCUGAGUGACAAGGACAGUGGCUGCUCUGUUUGGAGGCUUGGAGAGGCCUCUCUGAGGAGAGGAUGUUUAGGGGCAUAGACCUGGUGGUUUCAAGGCUCUUCUGGCACCCGUGAUGAGGAAAGCUGUGAUUCUGUGGCCCCUCUGGCAUUUCCUGGACCUUCGGGCUUCUGAGUCUAUUUGAACUUCAUGGCCAGGUGCCUCUCACUAAUGAAAGGGCCUCCACUGAGAUUUCCUUGGGAACAAAGGAGAGCUCAGUUGUUCUUGAGGCCUCAAAGGGGCCCCUGAGGCAGGCCUGAUGCCCGGCUGUGUGCAAGGACCAGAGGAGUGGCUGCCCAGCCUGGAGGCAGGUGCUGGCUGGACUGACCUCCUGGGACCCACUUAAGCUUUCUACAAACAACACAUCAUCUGGGCUGAGUGGGGGGUUCUCGGGGCAAAAAAAAAAAAAAAAGUCUUCUACGGAAGCUGCCUUGUGACUUGGCCCUGAGCUCAGGCAGGGUGGGGACCCUGAGCACCAGAGAGGUCAUUGUUCCGUGAAAGCCAAGGCGGCAACCCCUCCCUCUUCCCCUUCUUGUGCUUGGAACCUCCAGACCCCUGGACUCCCAGGGGAGCCCAGGGAGUCAGUGUAUGAGGUGCUGAAGCCAAGUCCUUCCAGAGCUUGGGGGAAGGUCAGUUGGUUUAUAAAUCACCUGAAUUUCAUCAGGGUCACCAUGGGGGAGCUUCAUGCAUUUUUCAAA